UCAAGGGGUAGUUUAAGUAGAAUUUCAGCUUUGGGUGUUGAAGGCAGGGCUUAAUGCUCUCUCCUUGA
Molecule: transfer RNA, 68 nt
Filed under: Choeroniscus minor (lesser long-tailed bat)
Lineage: Eukaryota; Metazoa; Chordata; Mammalia; Chiroptera; Phyllostomidae
Description: tRNA-Pro
Rfam family: tRNA
About the family: Transfer RNA (tRNA) molecules are approximately 80 nucleotides in length. Their secondary structure includes four short double-helical elements and three loops (D, anti-codon, and T loops). Further hydrogen bonds mediate the characteristic L-shaped molecular structure. tRNAs have two regions of fundamental functional importance: the anti-codon, which is responsible for specific mRNA codon recognition, and the 3' end, to which the tRNAs corresponding amino acid is attached (by aminoacyl-tRNA synthetases). tRNAs cope with the degeneracy of the genetic code in two manners: having more than one tRNA (with a specific anti-codon) for a particular amino acid; and 'wobble' base-pairing, i.e. permitting non-standard base-pairing at the 3rd anti-codon position.
Source: RNAcentral